Molecule: non-coding RNA, 95 nt
Organism: Vicugna pacos (alpaca)
Lineage: Eukaryota; Metazoa; Chordata; Mammalia; Artiodactyla; Camelidae
Source: RefSeq, a predicted model, not a curated record
AUUACCAUUGUGCAAAAGCAGAUACAAAGCCAACUAAAAGGUUAUUAAGAAAUGGCACCUCCUUUAAAGAAGACUCAUAGAACGGAAGAACACAC